RNAcentral lists this ribosomal RNA (503 nucleotides) under uncultured bacterium. RNAcentral describes it as "partial 16S ribosomal RNA". It matches the Rfam family "Bacterial small subunit ribosomal RNA", at positions 28 to 507 of the family's 1533-position model. The record is from RNAcentral.
GACGAACGCUGGCGGCGUGCUUAACACAUGCAAGUCGAACGGUGAAGCGCUUUCCUUUUUGGUUGGUGUGGAUGAGUGGCGAACGGGUGAGUAACACGUGAGUAACCUGCCCCCUUCUUCUGGAUAACCGCAUGAAAGUGUGGCUAAUACGGGAUAUUCUGCGCCUGCUGCAUGGUGGGUGUGGGAAAGAUUGUGCCUUUGGGUGUUUUCGGUGGGGGAUGGGCUCGCGGCCUAUCAGCUUGUUGGUGGGGUGGUGGCCUACCAAGGCGGUGACGGGUAGCCGGCCUGAGAGGGUGGACGGUCACACUGGGACUGAGACACGGCCCAGACUCCUACGGGAGGCAGCAGUGGGGAAUAUUGCACAAUGGGCGCAAGCCUGAUGCAGCGACGCCGCGUGAGGGAUGGAGGCCUUCGGGUUGUGAACCUCUUUCGCCAGUGAAGCAGGCCUGCUCCUUGUGGGUGGGUUGACGGUAGCUGGAUAAGAAGCGCCGGCUAACUACGUG